CCUACGGGAGGCAGCAGUGAGGAAUAUUGGUCAAUGGGCGCGAGCCUGAAGCAGCCAAGUAGCGUGAAGGAUGACUGCCCUACGGGUUGUAAACUUCAUUUAUAAAGGAAUAAAGUGAGGCACGUGUGCCUGUUUGUAUGUACUUUAUGAAUAAGGAUCGGCUAACUCCGUGCCAGCAGCCGCGGUAAUACGGAGGAUCCGAGCGUUAUCCGGAUUUAUUGGGUUUAAAGGGAGCGUAGAUGGGUUGUUAAGUCAGUUGUGAAAGUUUGCGGCUCAACCGUAAAAUUGCAAUUGAUACUGGCAGCCUUGAGUGCAGUUGAGGUAGGUGGAAUUCGUGGUGUAGCGGUGAAAUGCUUAGAUAUCACGAAGAACUCCGAUUGCGAAGGCAGCUUACUAGACUGCCACUGACAUUGAUGCUCGAAAGUGUGGGUAUCAAACAGGAUUAGAUACCCUAGUAGUC
RNAcentral lists this ribosomal RNA (460 nucleotides) under uncultured bacterium. RNAcentral describes it as "partial 16S ribosomal RNA". It matches the Rfam family "Bacterial small subunit ribosomal RNA", at positions 338 to 795 of the family's 1533-position model. The record is from RNAcentral.